Long non-coding RNA from Ictalurus punctatus (channel catfish), 760 nucleotides. RefSeq lists it as uncharacterized. The record is from RefSeq and is a predicted model, not a curated record. NCBI's taxonomy places the organism in Eukaryota, Metazoa, Chordata, Actinopteri, Siluriformes, Ictaluridae. The transcript has 4 exons.
UCCAGCCACCUGAAUGGAUCACUGAAAGAGAUUACAAGGCGGAACCUGCCACCGUCUGGGGUCUUGGCAUAUUCCUGUACCAACUGCUGUGUCAAGAAGAGCUUUUUUGUGGAGAGCAAGAAAUUGUUGAUGGCCACCUGGACUUCCCUGAUGAUCUGUCUGAAUCUGCCUGCAGUCUGAUAAGGUGGUGCCUGCAACGAGACCCUAAAAGACGACCAACCCUUGAGCAGAUCCUUGUACAUCACUGGUUCUGAGGAAAGGUUAUUGAGGAACAACAGAAUAAACCUAAAUAAAGUGAGCUGAACUUCAAGAGAAGUAAAAAAUGGAAAGAGGAAAAAACACCCAGAGUCACCAGGGGCAGCCAGAAUCUCCUCAAUACCUUUGUGUGUGUGUGUGUGUGUGUGUGUGUGUGUGUGUGUGUGUGUGUGUGUGUGUGUGUGUGUGUGCGUGCCAAAACAUUCCAACAAAAUUAUGACGUGGUAACACAGUGUCCCACUACCAGGAGCGUUGUAUUGAUCAGCUCUCCCCCACAGUGGCAAAGACAACAGCAAUGUAACUGGCUCAGCAACAGAGCUGCUGCUGCUGCACAAAAGGGUGAGAUAGGUGGCGGAAGAGAGAAGAGAAUGGAUGCUGAGAACUCCCUCACUCUUGGAGAACAACUGAGUGCAGGAACUGAGCGCAAGGGGGGGUCGAGCCCCAGGGGAGUUAAAUACAAGGGGAGGCGGAUGUGUGGAUUGUUUUAAGAUUCCUGCACUGUUAA